RNAcentral lists this unclassified non-coding RNA (335 nucleotides) under soil metagenome. RNAcentral describes it as "partial contains 5.8S ribosomal RNA, internal transcribed spacer 2, and large subunit ribosomal RNA". The stretch from base 1 to 119 matches the Rfam family "5.8S ribosomal RNA", at positions 35 to 154 of the family's 154-position model. The record is from RNAcentral.
GAUGAAGAAGCAGCGAAAUGCGAUAAGUAAUGUGAAUUGCAGAAUUCAGUGAAUCAUCGAAUCUUUGAACGCACAUUGCGCCCGCCAGUAUUCUGGCGGGCAUGCCUGUUCGAGCGUCAUUUCAACCAUCAAGCCCCAGGCUUGUGUUGGGGACCUGCGGCUGCCGCAGGCCCUGAAAACCAGUGGCGGGCUCGCUGUCACACCGGGCGUAGUAGAUUUUAUCUCGCUCAGGGCGUGCUGCGGGUUCCGGCCGUUAAAAAGCCUUUUUUACCCAAGGUUGACCUCGGAUCAGGUAGGAAGACCCGCUGAACUUAAGCAUAUCAAUAAGCGGAGGA